Molecule: ribosomal RNA, 497 nt
Filed under: uncultured bacterium
Lineage: Bacteria
Description: partial 16S ribosomal RNA
Rfam family: Bacterial small subunit ribosomal RNA
Source: RNAcentral
GACGAACGCUGGCGGCGUGCCUAAUACAUGCAAGUUGAGCGCUGAAGGUUGGUACUUGUACCAACUGGAUGAGCAGCGAACGGGUGAGUAACGCGUGGGGAAUCUGCCUUUGAGCGGGGGACAACAUUUGGAAACGAAUGCUAAUACCGCAUAAAAACUUUAAACACAAGUUUUAAGUUUGAAAGAUGCAAUUGCAUCACUCAAAGAUGAUCCCGCGUUGUAUUAGCUAGUUGGUGAGGUAAAGGCUCACCAAGGCGAUGAUACAUAGCCGACCUGAGAGGGUGAUCGGCCACAUUGGGACUGAGACACGGCCCAAACGCCUACGGGAGGCAGCAGUAGGGAAUCUUCGGCAAUGGACGAAAGUCUGGCCGAGCAACGCCGCGUGAGUGAAGAAGGUUGUCGGAUCGUAAAACUCUGUUGGUAGAGAAGAACGUUGGUGAGAGUGGAAAGCUCAUCAAGUGACGGUAACUACCCAGAAAGGGACGGCUAACUACGUG